AACCGGGGGAACUGAAACAUCUAAGUACCCGAAGGAAAGGACAUCAACCGAGACUCCGUCAGUAGCGGCGAGCGAACGCGGACCAGGCCAGUGGCCUUGCAGAAGAGAAGCCGAACACGUUGGAAAUCGUGGCGAUAUUGGGUGAUAGCCCCGUAGGCAUAAUGCUUCGCAAGGUCCUCGAGUAAGGCGGGACACGUGAAAUCCUGUCUGAAAAUGGGGGGACCACCCUCCAAGCCUAAGUACUCGUGCAUGACCGAUAGCGAACCAGUACCGUGAGGGAAAGGUGAAAAGCACCCCGACAAGGGGAGUGAAAUAGAACCUGAAACCGGAUGCCUACAAACAGUUGAAGCCCAAGGUUCGUCCUGGGUGACAGCGUACCUUUUGUAUAAUGGGUCAGCGACUU
Molecule: ribosomal RNA, 403 nt
Filed under: Heterosigma akashiwo
Lineage: Eukaryota; Raphidophyceae; Chattonellales; Chattonellaceae
Description: partial Bacterial large subunit ribosomal RNA
Rfam family: Bacterial large subunit ribosomal RNA
Source: RNAcentral